RNAcentral lists this transfer RNA (88 nucleotides) under Halovibrio variabilis. Its description in RNAcentral is "tRNA-Ser". It matches the Rfam family "tRNA". From Rfam's summary of the family: Transfer RNA (tRNA) molecules are approximately 80 nucleotides in length. Their secondary structure includes four short double-helical elements and three loops (D, anti-codon, and T loops). Further hydrogen bonds mediate the characteristic L-shaped molecular structure. tRNAs have two regions of fundamental functional importance: the anti-codon, which is responsible for specific mRNA codon recognition, and the 3' end, to which the tRNAs corresponding amino acid is attached (by aminoacyl-tRNA synthetases). tRNAs cope with the degeneracy of the genetic code in two manners: having more than one tRNA (with a specific anti-codon) for a particular amino acid; and 'wobble' base-pairing, i.e. permitting non-standard base-pairing at the 3rd anti-codon position. RNAcentral also lists the same sequence under 61 other names. The record is from RNAcentral. Lineage: Bacteria; Pseudomonadati; Pseudomonadota; Gammaproteobacteria; Oceanospirillales; Halomonadaceae.
GGAGGGGUGUCCGAGUGGUCGAAGGAGCACGCCUGGAAAGUGUGUAAGCCGCAAGGCUUCGAGGGUUCGAAUCCCUCCCCCUCCGCCA